GUUAACAGCCGCACAGGCUGCUUAGAAA
This is a non-coding RNA of Pragia fontium, 28 nucleotides long. The record is from Rfam. Lineage: Bacteria; Pseudomonadati; Pseudomonadota; Gammaproteobacteria; Enterobacterales; Budviciaceae.